CUUGCUUUAUGGAACUUAGUGGCGAACGGGUGAGUAAUACAUAGGCAACCUGCCCAUCGGACUGGGAUAACUGUUGGAAACGACAGCUAAUACCGGAUAGGUAAACGGAAGGCAUCUUCUGUUUAUUAAAGUUUAGAUACACUGAUGGAUGGGCUUAUGGCGCAUUAGCUAGUUGGUGAGGUAACGGCCCACCAAGGCUAUGAUGCGUAGCCGACCUGAGAGGGUGACCGGCCACAUUGGGACUGAGACACGGCCCAAACUCCUACGGGAGGCAGCAGUAAGGAAUUUUCGGCAAUGGGCGCAAGCCUGACCGAGCAACGCCGCGUGAGUGAUGAAGGCCUUAUGGGUUGUAAAACUCUGUUGUAAAGGAAGAACACUAUUGAUAGAAUCAAUAGCUGACGGUACUUUACCAGAAAGCCACGGCUAACUACGUGCCAGCAGCCGCGGUAAUACGUAGGUGGCAAGCGUUAUCCGGAAUUAUUGGGCGUAAAGGGUGCGCAGUCGGCAAAUUAAGUUUGUGGUGAAAGUGCGGAGCUUAACUCCGUAUUGCCAUGAAAACUGGUUGGCUAGAGUGCAGAAGAGGGUAGUGGAAUUCCAUGUGUAGCGGUAAAAUGCGUAGAUAUAUGGAGGAACACCAGUGGCGAAGGCGGCUACCUGGUCUGUAACUGACGAUGAGGCACGAAAGCGUGGGGAGCAAAUAGGAUUAGAUACCCUAGUAGUCCACGCUGUAAACGAUGAAUACUAAGUGUUGGGGAAACUCAGUGCUGCAGCUAACGCAAUAAGUAUUC
This 788-nucleotide ribosomal RNA is filed under the name uncultured bacterium. RNAcentral's name for it is "bacterial SSU rRNA". It matches the Rfam family "Bacterial small subunit ribosomal RNA", at positions 79 to 869 of the family's 1533-position model. The record is from RNAcentral.